GGACUACCAGGGUUUCUAAUCCCGUUUGCUCCCCUGGCUUUCGCGCCUCAGCGUCAGAAAAGGUCCAGCACGUCGCUUUCGCCACCGGCGUUCCUUCCGAUAUCUACGCAUUUCACCGCUCCACCGGAAGUUCCACAUGCCCCUACCUCCCUCAAGACGGCCAGUAUCAGAAGCUGUUUUCCAGUUAAGCUGAAAGAUUUCACCCCUGACUUGACCACCCGCCUACGCGCCCUUUAAGCCCAGUGAUUCCGAACAACGUUUGCACGGUUCGUCUUACCGCGGCGGCUGGCAC
RNAcentral lists this ribosomal RNA (292 nucleotides) under uncultured Planctomycetota bacterium. RNAcentral describes it as "uncultured planctomycete partial 16S ribosomal RNA". The record is from RNAcentral. Lineage: Bacteria; Pseudomonadati; Planctomycetota.